Molecule: ribosomal RNA, 158 nt
Filed under: Entomocorticium sp. F
Lineage: Eukaryota; Fungi; Basidiomycota; Agaricomycetes; Russulales; Peniophoraceae
Description: 5.8S ribosomal RNA
Rfam family: 5.8S ribosomal RNA
About the family: 5.8S ribosomal RNA (5.8S rRNA) is a component of the large subunit of the eukaryotic ribosome. It is transcribed by RNA polymerase I as part of the 45S precursor that also contains 18S and 28S rRNA. Functionally, it is thought that 5.8S rRNA may be involved in ribosome translocation.
Source: RNAcentral
CAACUUUCAACAACGGAUCUCUUGCGUCUCGCAUCGAUGAAGAACGCAGCGAAAUGCGAUAAGUAAUGUGAAUUGCAGAAUUCAGUGAAUCAUCGAAUCUUUGAAGCACCUUGCGCCCCUUGGCAUUCCGAGGGGCAACGCCUGUUUGAGUGUCGUGA